This 213-nucleotide unclassified non-coding RNA is filed under the name uncultured fungus. RNAcentral's name for it is "sequence contains ITS1". The record is from RNAcentral. Lineage: Eukaryota; Fungi.
GUAUUUUAUUUCGCCAUACGGCAGACAAACAUCCAAUAUUUUAAACAAGAGUUCAUGAGUUUCGAAAGCAGGGCUUAACGCGCUGCCCUCAAAUAUAAGUGCACAGGUGUAAAUUGGACUAGGAGAGCGAGCACAUGCAGUCAAAAAAAAACUACCAGCAUCAACUCCCCACAUAGUUCAUUAAUGAUCCUUCCGCAGGUUCACCUACGGAAA